RNAcentral lists this ribosomal RNA (897 nucleotides) under Dothiorella thripsita. Its description in RNAcentral is "LSU rRNA". It matches the Rfam family "Eukaryotic large subunit ribosomal RNA", at positions 36 to 964 of the family's 3401-position model. The record is from RNAcentral. Lineage: Eukaryota; Fungi; Ascomycota; Dothideomycetes; Botryosphaeriales; Botryosphaeriaceae.
UAGCAUAUCAAUAAGCGGAGGAAAAGAAACCAACAGGGAUUGCCCCAGUAACGGCGAGUGAAGCGGCAACAGCUCAAAUUUGAAAUCUGGCCCCAGGCCCGAGUUGUAAUUUGCAGAGGAUGCUUUUGGCGCGGUGCCUUCCGAGUUCCCUGGAACGGGACGCCAUAGAGGGUGAGAGCCCCGUACGGUUGGACACCAAGCCUUUGUAAAGCUCCUUCGACGAGUCGAGUAGUUUGGGAAUGCUGCUCUAAAUGGGAGGUAUAUUUCUUCUAAAGCUAAAUAUAGGCCAGAGACCGAUAGCGCACAAGUAGAGUGAUCGAAAGAUGAAAAGCACUUUGAAAAGAGGGUUAAACAGCACGUGAAAUUGUUGAAAGGGAAGCGCUUGUGACCAGACUUGCGUCCGGUGAAUCACCCAGCUCUCGCGGCUGGGGCACUUUGCCGGCACAGGCCAGCAUCAGCUCGCUGUCGGGGACAAAAGCUUCGGGAACGUAGCUCUCUUCGGGGAGUGUUAUAGCCCGUUGCAUAAUACCCUUCGGUGGGCUGAGGUACGCGCUCCGCAAGGAUGCUGGCGUAAUGGUCAUCAGCGACCCGUCUUGAAACACGGACCAAGGAGUCAACCUUAUGUGCGAGUGUUUGGGUGUUAAACCCCUACGCGUAAUGAAAGUGAACGCAGGUGAGAGCUUCGGCGCAUCAUCGACCGAUCCUGAUGUUCUCGGACGGAUUUGAGUAAGAGCAUAUAGGGUUGGACCCGAAAGAAGGUGAACUAUGCGUGUAUAGGGUGAAGCCAGAGGAAACUCUGGUGGAGGCUCGCAGCGGUUCUGACGUGCAAAUCGAUCGUCAAAUAUGCGCAUGGGGGCGAAAGACUAAUCGAACCUUCUAGUAGCUGGUUUCCGCCAA